RNAcentral lists this ribosomal RNA (439 nucleotides) under uncultured bacterium. Its description in RNAcentral is "bacterial SSU rRNA". It matches the Rfam family "Bacterial small subunit ribosomal RNA", at positions 954 to 1392 of the family's 1533-position model. The record is from RNAcentral.
GCACAACGCGAAGAACCUUACCAAGGCUUGACAUACACCAGAACACCCUAGAAAUAGGGGACUCUUUGGACACUGGUGAACAGGUGGUGCAUGGUUGUCGUCAGCUCGUGUCGUGAGAUGUUGGGUUAAGUCCCGCAACGAGCGCAACCCUCGUUCUAUGUUGCCAGCACGUAAUGGUGGGAACUCAUGGGAUACUGCCGGGGUCAACUCGGAGGAAGGUGGGGAUGACGUCAAAUCAUCAUGCCCCUUAUGUCUUGGGCUUCACGCAUGCUACAAUGGCCGGUACAAAGGGCUGCAAUACCGUGAGGUGGAGCGAAUCCCAAAAAGCCGGUCCCAGUUCGGAUUGAGGUCUGCAACUCGACCUCAUGAAGUCGGAGUCGCUAGUAAUCGCAGAUCAGCAACGCUGCGGUGAAUACGUUCCCGGGUCUUGUACACACCG